RNAcentral lists this unclassified non-coding RNA (450 nucleotides) under Hevea brasiliensis (rubber tree). The record is from RNAcentral. Lineage: Eukaryota; Viridiplantae; Streptophyta; Magnoliopsida; Malpighiales; Euphorbiaceae.
UGAGAAUGUAAAACGAUGUAGCACGAUAUACUUUAAAAAAUUCAAUUAUCUUUCUCCAACUAUUGAAGACAACGCCCCCCCCAAAACAACGACCCGCUUCUCCAAAACUCUCUCACUUCUGCUCCUCGCUCGACUCACAUCCUCGUUAACUAUUACAGAGUCAACCUAAUUACGCGAUUCUCGCUUGGUAUUUACCUUUUGCUCAAAAGCCCUCAAAGGCUUCGCUGAAGCUGGCGUUCUGCUAAAAGGAAAGACAGUUCAUGCACUUCUAGUGAAGUUAGGACUGUAUAAUGUACUAUCCUUGCAAAAUCAGAUUUUGAUUGGUUAUAUCAAAUGCAAAGUAUUCAAUGAAGCACAUAGAUUGUUUGAUGAAAUGAGUGUAAGAAAUGUGGUGACGUGGAAUACAGUGAUUUGUGGCCUUGUUGAUUGUCGUAAUAAUUACGGUUCAAG